RNAcentral lists this long non-coding RNA (227 nucleotides) under Lathyrus oleraceus (garden pea). Its description in RNAcentral is "Pisum sativum (pea) long non-coding RNA (PSAT_LNC002815)". The record is from RNAcentral. Lineage: Eukaryota; Viridiplantae; Streptophyta; Magnoliopsida; Fabales; Fabaceae.
AGUGAGUCUGGUUGAAGGUGAUCCACUAAUACUUUAUUCAGAUUCUGAAGAGGAGAAUAACAUGGCAACACCAUAAUCCCUCAAUAUAGGGGAUUAUUGCAAACAAACUGAUGAAUGACAUGUUUCUAUAGGGUUUGUACCGGCAGACCCUGCUAACUUUGAUAUUAAGAAUUAUGUGCUUUCAUGUCUAAGAGACAAUCCGUUCGAUGGGAACACAAGCAGAGAUC